RNAcentral lists this ribosomal RNA (531 nucleotides) under uncultured eukaryote. RNAcentral's name for it is "bacterial SSU rRNA". It matches the Rfam family "Eukaryotic small subunit ribosomal RNA", at positions 21 to 550 of the family's 1831-position model. The record is from RNAcentral.
UAGUCAUAUGCUUGUCUGAAAGAUUAAGCCAUGCAUGUCUAAGUAUAAACAUUUAUACUGUGAAACUGCGGACGGCUCAUUAAAUCAGUUAUAGUUUACUUGAUCAUAUUUCUUACUUGGAUAACCGUAGUAAAUCUAGAGCUAAUAUAUGUAAAAAAUCUGGUCUCUUUUGAGAUAGGAUGAAUUUAUUAGAUUAGAAUUGGCGCAGGAUUUAUCCUGAGUUAUGGUGAUUCAUAAUAACUAAUCGAAUCGCAAAGACUUUUAGUCAGCGAUGAUACAUAUAAAUUUCUGCCCUAUCAACUUUCGAUGGUAGUAUAGAGGACUACCAUGGUUAUAACGGGUAAUGGGGAAUUAGGGUUCGAUUCCGGAGAGGGGGCCUGAGAGAUGGCCACCACUUCCAAGGAAGGCAGCAGGUGUGUAAAUUACCCAAUCCUGAUUCAGGGAGGUAGUGACAAGAAAUACCAGUACAGGACCUUAUUGGUACUGUGUUUGGAAUGAGUACAAUUUAAAAACCUUAAUGAGGAACAAUUG